GACGAACGCUGGCGGCGUGCUUAACACAUGCAAGUCGAACGGAAAGGCCCCUUUGGGGGUACUCGAGUGGCGAACGGGUGCGUAACACGUGCGUAACCUGCCCUUGACUUCGGGAUAACUUCAGGAAACUGGGGCUAUUACCGGAUAGGAAUCCUUGCUGCAUGGUGGGGGUUGGAAAGCUUCGGCGGUUUUGGAUGGACUCGCGGCUUAUCAGCUUGUUGGUGGGGUAGUGGCUUACCAAGGCUUUGACGGGUAGCCGGCCUGAGAGGGCGACCGGCCACAUUGGGACUGAGAUACGGCCCAGACUCCUACGGGAGGCAGCAGUGGGGAAUAUUGCACAAUGGGCGGAAGCCUGAUGCAGCAACGCCGCGUGCGGGAUGACGGCCUUCGGGUUGUAAACCGCUUUCAGCAGGGGCGAAGCUUGUGGUGACGGUACCUGCAGAAGAAGCACCGGCUAACUACGUG
RNAcentral lists this ribosomal RNA (465 nucleotides) under uncultured bacterium. RNAcentral's name for it is "partial 16S ribosomal RNA". It matches the Rfam family "Bacterial small subunit ribosomal RNA", at positions 28 to 507 of the family's 1533-position model. The record is from RNAcentral.